GCGCCGAGCCCCUCGCACAAACC
Molecule: microRNA, 23 nt
Filed under: Sarcophilus harrisii (Tasmanian devil)
Lineage: Eukaryota; Metazoa; Chordata; Mammalia; Dasyuromorphia; Dasyuridae
Also listed under: 2 other names
Description: Sha-Mir-375_5p* (star (passenger))
Source: RNAcentral